UUAGGAAUUUUGCGCAAUGGGGGAAACCCUGACGCAGCAACGCCGCGUGAGUGAUGAAGGCCUUCGGGUUGUAAAGCUCUUUUAACAGGAAAGAAAACAAUGACGGUACCUGUAGAAAAAGCACCGGCUAACUCUGUGCCAGCAGCCGCGGUAAUACAGAGGGUGCAAGCGUUAUUCGGAUUUACUGGGCGUAAAGGGCGCGUAGGCGGCUUGAUAAGUCUGAUGUGAAAGCCCCCGACUCAAUCGGGGA
This 250-nucleotide ribosomal RNA is filed under the name uncultured bacterium. RNAcentral's name for it is "partial 16S ribosomal RNA". It matches the Rfam family "Bacterial small subunit ribosomal RNA", at positions 355 to 619 of the family's 1533-position model. The record is from RNAcentral.